UCUCUCUCUCUCUCUCUCUCUCUCUCCUCUCAUCUACUCACCAAUAAAAAAUGAACAAGUAUAAUAUUUUUUAAGUUGAAAAUUAAAUCAAUCAAACACAUUUAAUUGAGAAUUUUCAUGCAAAUAAGUUAUAAACAAUUGAACUGUUUAGAAUUUAUUUUCGUUCAAUACAAAUUCCAUCCUUACAAUCAACCGCACCCUUAAAAAAAAAUAAAAGUUUAGAAAUGCUAUCCCAAAAAAGUUAUUUAUUGGAAAACUACAAAGGCUAGGUCUAUAUGGAUCUAUGCCACAGAGAAUGUUAAUAAUAUCUCCAAUAAGCUCUCUAUUUUUCAAAAACAUAUUCUAUUAUUUGAAUAGCAUAAAUAAAUUUUUAUAUUUAAUAUUUAAUUUUAUUACUCUAAAAAAAUAUUUAUUAAUUUUCUCUAUCUUUUAUUUUAACCAACUUUUCUCAAUAUUAUUUUAUUAUCUUUCUACAAUAAAAAUUGAAACAGUUUGAAUACAUUUAAUUAUAGAGAAUGGGUUUGAUUAAUUUAAGGAGUCUCUUGCAGCUUGAUUUUAAGGGUUGACUCAUUAAAAUAGAGAGCAUCUCAUAUUUAAAAAGUCUUUUAAAGAUGCUCUAAUAGAACAAAAUGUGUUGCGAGUAGAGAGGUUAUUACCAUAUUUAACUUGAAUUUUCGAAUGGAAAAAGUACAUAACUAUAAAUAUUUAAGAAUAAUAUUUUAAUUAAUAAAUUUAAAAAAAAAACUGUCAAAAAUCAUAUGAUCACAUUUAUGACAUUUUGAUAAAUGUUGUGAUAAAUAAUUAAAAUUAAAAAUGUCACGAUCAUACACCACUCGAUUUAUUGACCACUGCCAUGAUAAGUCACAUACCAUACAAGAUCACAAUUGUAUAUUAAGUCACGCAUUAUGCAAUUAGUAGGUAACAAUCACAUGUUAAAUAAAAAAUUCCAUCUUCUUAAACUAAUCCACUGGAAACCACCACCCACCAAAUUCUUCCAUUCACGACCACCAUCGCACCAUCCAUCCACUCUAAAACUUCUCUUGCAUUUCAUCUUUCAUAUCAGCAUCCUGCAAUGCUAUCACCAGCAAAUGGUGGUACUGCUUCAAAAC
RNAcentral lists this long non-coding RNA (1109 nucleotides) under Olea europaea subsp. europaea. The record is from RNAcentral. Lineage: Eukaryota; Viridiplantae; Streptophyta; Magnoliopsida; Lamiales; Oleaceae.